GACGAACGCUGGCGGCGUGCUUAACACAUGCAAGUCGAGCGAGAACCCGGGGCUUGCCCCGGGGGAAGCGGCGAACGGGUGCGUACCACGUGGGCAACCUGCCCCAGACACUGGGAUAACUCCGGGAAACCGGGGCUAAUACCGGAUACUCCGGCCGAACCGCAUGAUCCGGCCGGGAAAGCUCCGACGGUCUGGGAUGGGCUCGCGGCCUAUCAGCUUGUUGGUGGGGUAACGGCCUACCAAGGCUUCGACGGGGUAGCNGGUCUGAGAGGACGACCAGCCACACUGGAACUGAGACACGGUCCAGACUCCUACGGGAGGCAGCAGUGGGGAAUCUUGCGCAAUGAGCGAAAGCUUGACGCAGCGACGCCGCGUGGGGGAUGAAGGCCCUCGGGUUGUAAACCCCUUUCGGCAGGGACGAAGCGGAAGUGACGGUACCUGCAGAAGAAGUCCCGGCUAACUACGUGCCAGCAGCCGCCGUAAC
RNAcentral lists this ribosomal RNA (484 nucleotides) under uncultured bacterium. Its description in RNAcentral is "bacterial SSU rRNA". It matches the Rfam family "Bacterial small subunit ribosomal RNA", at positions 28 to 524 of the family's 1533-position model. The record is from RNAcentral.